RNAcentral lists this ribosomal RNA (478 nucleotides) under uncultured bacterium. RNAcentral describes it as "partial 16S ribosomal RNA". It matches the Rfam family "Bacterial small subunit ribosomal RNA", at positions 28 to 507 of the family's 1533-position model. The record is from RNAcentral.
GAUGAACGCUGGCGGCGUGCUUAACACAUGCAAGUCGAACGGGAAACCUUUUAUUGAAGCUUCGGCAGAUUUAGCUGGUUUCUAGUGGCGGACGGGUGAGUAACGCGUGGGUAACCUGCCCUAUACAGGGGGAUAACAACCAGAAAUGGUUGCUAAUACCGCAUAAGCGCACAGGGCCGCAUGGUCCGGUGUGAAAAACUCCGGUGGUAUAGGAUGGACCCGCGUUGGAUUAGCCAGUUGGCAGGGUAACGGCCUACCAAAGCGACGAUCCAUAGCCGGCCUGAGAGGGUGAACGGCCACAUUGGGACUGAGGCACGGCCCAGACUCCUACGGGAGGCAGCAGUGGGGAAUAUUGCACAAUGGGGGAAACCCUGAUGCAGCGACGCCGCGUGAAGGAAGAAGUAUCUCGGUAUGUAAACUUCUAUCAGCAGGGAAGAUAGUGACGGUACCUGACUAAGAAGCCCCGGCUAACUACGUG